GACGAACGCUGGCGGCGUGCUUAACACAUGCAAGUCGAACGGGAGUAUUGAAGAAGCUUGCUUUAGAGAUACUUUAGUGGCGGACGGGUGAGUAAUGCGUGGGAAUCUACCUGGCAAUGGGGGAUAACCCAGGGAAACUUGGGCUAAUACCGGAUGUGAGCAACUUUUAGUUGUUUGAAAGGUGGCGUAAGCUGUCGCUUGGGGAUGAGCCUGCGUCCUAUUAGUUAGUUGGUGAGGUAACGGCUCACCUAGGCAAUGAUAGGUAGGCGGCCUUAACGGGUGGUCGCCCACACUGGGAUUGAGAUACGGCCCAGACUCCUACGGGAGGCAGCAGUCGAGAAUAGUCUACAAUGGUCGGAAGACUGAUAGUGCGACGCCGCGUGAACGAUGAAUCCCUUCGGGGUGUAAAGUUCUUUUAUAUGUGAGCAGUGCUUCUUAUAUUAACAGUAUGGGGAGAGAGAUAUUAGCAUAUGAAUAAGCAACGGCUAACUCCGUG
This 496-nucleotide ribosomal RNA is filed under the name uncultured bacterium. RNAcentral describes it as "bacterial SSU rRNA". It matches the Rfam family "Bacterial small subunit ribosomal RNA", at positions 28 to 507 of the family's 1533-position model. The record is from RNAcentral.